AAGAUUGACUUGACCCUGCUUAAUAGGCU
This 29-nucleotide non-coding RNA is filed under the name Cricetulus griseus (Chinese hamster). Lineage: Eukaryota; Metazoa; Chordata; Mammalia; Rodentia; Cricetidae. The record is from RNAcentral.